RNAcentral lists this small RNA (775 nucleotides) under Pongo abelii (Sumatran orangutan). Its description in RNAcentral is "retained intron". Lineage: Eukaryota; Metazoa; Chordata; Mammalia; Primates; Hominidae. The record is from RNAcentral.
GACUGACGGAGCGCCCCCGCCCCCGCCCGGCCGCCCGCCCGCCGCCGCCAUGCCCUUCUCCAACAGCCACAACGCACUGAAGCUGCGCUUCCCGGCCGAGGACGAGUUCCCCGACCUGAGCGCCCACAACAACCACAUGGCCAAGGUGCUGACCCCCGAGCUGUACGCGGAGCUGCGAGCCAAGAGCACGCCGAGCGGCUUCACGCUGGACGACGUCAUCCAGACAGGCGUGGACAACCCGGGCCACCCGUACAUCAUGACCGUGGGCUGCGUGGCGGGCGACGAGGAGUCCUACGAAGUGUUCAAGGAUCUCUUCGACCCCAUCAUCGAGGACCGGCACGGCGGCUACAAGCCCAGCGAUGAGCACAAGACCGACCUCAACCCCGACAACCUGCAGGUGCGGGGCGGCGGGCGGGCCGGGCGGGCGGGGCCGGGGUCUCCGGGCGCUCACUCCCGUCUCGCCCCCCAGGGCGGCGACGACCUGGACCCCAACUACGUGCUGAGCUCGCGGGUGCGCACGGGCCGCAGCAUCCGUGGCUUCUGCCUCCCCCCGCACUGCAGCCGCGGGGAGCGCCGCGCCAUCGAGAAGCUCGCGGUGGAAGCCCUGUCCAGCCUGGACGGCGACCUGGCGGGCCGGUACUACGCGCUCAAGAGCAUGACGGAGGCGGAGCAGCAGCAGCUCAUCGACGACCAUUUCCUUUUCGACAAGCCCGUGUCGCCCCUGCUGCUGGCCUCGGGCAUGGCCCGCGACUGGCCCGACGCCCGCGGUAUCUGG